This 299-nucleotide unclassified non-coding RNA is filed under the name plant metagenome. RNAcentral's name for it is "partial contains small subunit ribosomal RNA, internal transcribed spacer 1, and 5.8S ribosomal RNA". The record is from RNAcentral.
UUUCCGUAGGUGAACCUGCGGAAGGAUCAUUAACGAAUAACUAUGGUGUCUUGGUUGUAGCUGGCUCCUCGGAGCAAUGUGCACGCCCGCCAUUUUUAUCUUUCCACCUGUGCACCGACUGUAGGUCUGGAUGACUCUUGCACUCCGGUGCGGAUGCGAGGAUUGCUCUCGGGCUCUCCUCGAAUUUCCAGGCUCUACGUCUUUUUACACACCCCAAACGUAUGAUACAGAAUGUAGUCAAUGGGCUUGAUCGCCUAUAAAACACUAUACAACUUUCAGCAACGGAUCUCUUGGCUCUC